This 460-nucleotide long non-coding RNA is filed under the name Mytilus galloprovincialis (Mediterranean mussel). The record is from RNAcentral. Lineage: Eukaryota; Metazoa; Mollusca; Bivalvia; Mytilida; Mytilidae.
ACUGAUUCCAAAAAGAUCUGGUUCUAUAUACUUUUUUAUUAAUAAAGUACAAAAAUAGCUACUUCCGGUUUACACAAGGUCACUUCCGGUUGUUUUUUUUUCAAGGUUAAAUGGUUUGAUACCUUUCGCCAAAAGUCUCAUGGAUAUAUCAUGUAUAAAUAUGAGCUGAAAGCAAAGGUCAAAAACUAGAACGUCAAAUUAAUCUAUGACCUUGAGAUCAAUUUCAAGGUCAUAAACCAAGGACCUCAAAUCAAAAGACCAUAGGACUUAAUUAUAUUUGGUUAAUCAGUUAUAUCACCAUACACGUAUUUUUAAAUACAAGAGGGGAGAAAACUCACUUUUACGUUCAACGUACCCUUGCAAUCAAAAUUUACGUGUUACGACAUGUCGCAACUAACAAUUUAGAAAAAAUAAUUUGUCGAUAUUUUAUACAGUUUCUGGAAAUUAGUGGAAAUAAGCC